CCUACGGGUGGCAGCAGUGAGGACUAUUGGUCAAUGGGCGCGAGCCUGAACCAGCCAAGUCGCGUGAGUGAAGACGGUCCUAUGGAUUGUAAACCUCUUUUGUCGGGGAGCAAAAGACGCCACGCGUGUCGUUCCGAGAGUACCCGAAGAAAAAGCAUCGGCUAACUCCGUGCCAGCAGCCGCGGUAAUAGGGAGGAUGCGAGCGUUCUCAGGUUUUAUUGGGUUUAAAGGGUGCGCAGGCGGAAGAUCAAGUCAGCGGUAAAAUUGAGAGGCUCAACCUAGUCGAGCCGUGGAAACUGGUUUACUUGAGUGAGUGAGAGGUGUGCGGAAUGCGUGGUGUAGCGGUGAAAUGCAUAGAUAUCACGCAGAACUCCGAUUGCGAAGGCAGCAUACCGGCGCUCAACUGACGCUCAUGCACGAAAGUGUGGGUAUCGAACAGGAUUAGAUACCCCAGUAGUC
Molecule: ribosomal RNA, 459 nt
Filed under: uncultured bacterium
Lineage: Bacteria
Description: partial 16S ribosomal RNA
Rfam family: Bacterial small subunit ribosomal RNA
Source: RNAcentral